This 464-nucleotide ribosomal RNA is filed under the name Vreelandella stevensii. RNAcentral's name for it is "partial 16S ribosomal RNA". It matches the Rfam family "Bacterial small subunit ribosomal RNA", at positions 338 to 795 of the family's 1533-position model. Lineage: Bacteria; Pseudomonadati; Pseudomonadota; Gammaproteobacteria; Oceanospirillales; Halomonadaceae. The record is from RNAcentral.
CCUACGGGGGGCAGCAGUGGGGAAUAUUGGACAAUGGGGGCAACCCUGAUCCAGCCAUGCCGCGUGUGUGAAGAAGGCCCUCGGGUUGUAAAGCACUUUCAGUGAGGAAGAACGCCUGGUGGUUAAUACCCAUCAGGAAAGACAUCACUCACAGAAGAAGCACCGGCUAACUCCGUGCCAGCAGCCGCGGUAAUACGGAGGGUGCGAGCGUUAAUCGGAAUUACUGGGCGUAAAGCGCGCGUAGGUGGCUUGAUAAGCCGGUUGUGAAAGCCCCGGGCUCAACCUGGGAACGGCAUCCGGAACUGUCAAGCUAGAGUGCAGGAGAGGAAGGUAGAAUUCCCGGUGUAGCGGUGAAAUGCGUAGAGAUCGGGAGGAAUACCAGUGGCGAAGGCGGCCUUCUGGACUGACACUGACACUGAGGUGCGAAAGCGUGGGUAGCAAACAGGAUUAGAUACCUUGUAGUC